GAGCCAACGCGUUGGCCCCGGCGCACUCUCCACACACGGACCGGACCAGGCCGCACCAACAGCAGACCAACUGCGCCAAAAACCACUUCGCGCAGCAGCAGAUCGCAUCGUCGCUCCGACCGUCCGCCGUCGCCGCCCCACCGGAUACCGCGCAGAUCCGGAGGCCCAGAUCCCCGAGUCCAUGGAGCCCUCGCCGGCCGCGGCGGAGCGCGAC
RNAcentral lists this long non-coding RNA (214 nucleotides) under Oryza brachyantha (malo sina). RNAcentral describes it as "long non-coding RNA (OBRA_LNC000903)". Lineage: Eukaryota; Viridiplantae; Streptophyta; Magnoliopsida; Poales; Poaceae. The record is from RNAcentral.